CCACGCCGUAAACGAUGAUUACUAGGUGUAGGGGGUAUCGACUCCCUCUGUGCCGCAGUUAACGCAUUAAGUAAUCCACCUGGGGAGUACGGCCGCAAGGUUAAAACUCAAAGGAAUUGACGGGGGCCCGCACAAGCAGUGGAGUAUGUGGUUUAAUUCGAAGCAACGCGAAGAACCUUACCAGGGCUUGACAUCCUCUGCCCGCUUUAGAGAUAAAGCUUUUCUUCGGAACAGAGAGACAGGUGGUGCAUGGUUGU
This 257-nucleotide ribosomal RNA is filed under the name uncultured bacterium. RNAcentral's name for it is "partial 16S ribosomal RNA". It matches the Rfam family "Bacterial small subunit ribosomal RNA", at positions 795 to 1052 of the family's 1533-position model. The record is from RNAcentral.